Molecule: long non-coding RNA, 945 nt
Organism: Belonocnema kinseyi
Lineage: Eukaryota; Metazoa; Arthropoda; Insecta; Hymenoptera; Cynipidae
Exons: 5
Source: RefSeq, a predicted model, not a curated record
GAUGUAGAAACGUUCUUUGAAACGAAAAUGCCGGAUGGAACAAUCCACCGGAUUCCGAAAAAACUUAAAAGUUUAAAACGGAAUGCUAUUCCGAUGAAGGAUGAUGAUUUCGAGAACAGAACCGAAGAUGAAGGCACCAAACCACAUCUUCGUGUACUUGCACCAUGUGUUCUUAAUGCAAAAUAGCGUUGUUUAUGCAAUUUGCAAUUUCUUUACAUUUAAUUAAACUCAUAUGAAAUCUUAAAUAUGUUAUACCAUUUUCUUCAGAAUAAGACUAACAGAAUCAUGGAAAACACCCAAAAGUCAAACGAAGUGAAUGGCAACUUCAAAAUCUCAUUGAUCAAACACAUUUUGCGCAAGAAAAGGAGAAUCAGGAUUCUGACAUCUUGUACGAGGGGAUAAUUUUUCUUGAAGAUAACGUACUUCGCCAAAAGUAUCUACCUGAAAAGCCUCAAGCUUUUAGUAUAAUAGAAAAUGCCUGGUACACGGACAACUUGAACCAAAAAUUGGAAAAUCGAGUGAAUCUGGAGCCUGUUUUGCAAGAAAAUGUCAAUCAGGGUUCAAUCAGCUUCCAGGCUGUGAAACCUCUCAUGGAGAAAAACGGGAAUCAGGAGUAUCUAUUUCAAGAGGCUGAAACUUGCAUUGUCAUAGGAAAUGAUAUAAAUAGUAACUUUGAUACUUCUAUGGAUUUGACACCUUUGAUACAAUUUUUCAUCAAGCUCUUAAGUUGAUCUUCUCAUAGCUUCCACGUUAAAAGAUUGAAGGAAAUUCAUGCAAAAGUACGGUUCUAUCUACAUCUCGAUGUCGCCAAAAUAUUCCAGGGCAACAUAUCAGUAUGAGUAGAGCGCAGGAUAACAAUAUAACUGCUAUAUAUACCUUCAGAAAAUUACAAAGCGACGUUCAAAGAUGUCUUCCUCAAGAUUGGUGUGCAGUAAUUGGUAACCG